This 475-nucleotide ribosomal RNA is filed under the name uncultured bacterium. RNAcentral describes it as "bacterial SSU rRNA". It matches the Rfam family "Bacterial small subunit ribosomal RNA", at positions 30 to 506 of the family's 1533-position model. The record is from RNAcentral.
UUGAACGCUGGCGGCAUGCCUUACACAUGCAAGUCGAACGGUAACAGGUUAAGCUGACGAGUGGCGAACGGGUGAGUAAUAUAUCGGAACGUGCCCAGUUGUGGGGGAUAACUACUCGAAAGAGUGGCUAAUACCGCAUGGGACCUGAGGGUGUAAGCGGGGGAUCGCAAGACCUCGCGCAAUUGGAGCGGCCGAUAUCAGAUUAGGUAGUUGGUGGGGUAAAGGCUCACCAAGCCGACGAUCUGUAGCUGGUCUGAGAGGACGACGAGCCACACUGGGACUGAGACACGGCCCAGACUCCUACGGGAGGCAGCAGUGGGGAAUUUUGGACAAUGGGCGCAAGCCUGAUCCAGCAAUGCCGCGUGCAGGAAGAAGGCCUUCGGGUUGUAAACUGCUUUUGUACGGAGCGAAAAGGCUCUCUCUAAUACAGGGGGCUCAUGACGGUACCGUAAGAAUAAGCACCGGCUAACUACGU